Molecule: RNA transcript, 1000 nt
Organism: Ananas comosus (pineapple)
Lineage: Eukaryota; Viridiplantae; Streptophyta; Magnoliopsida; Poales; Bromeliaceae
Gene name: cytochrome b561 and DOMON domain-containing protein At2g04850-like
Exons: 4
Source: RefSeq, a predicted model, not a curated record
CUGUCAUCUUAGAUGUUUUCCUAAUUUAAUUUUUCCUGCUUCGUCUUCAACCUCCAGCUCCAUCGCGCUCUUCCCUCUAGAUGCCGCUCCGAGUACUGUUCCCUCUCUGGACGGAAUGUUGGGCAAGUUCGUGGUCGGUUCUUCCCGUCGCGCCCUUUCCUGUUAGCGAGGCCCUAGAUGCUGCUCCGGCUCCCGUUCCCUCUCUGGACGCCGCUCCGGCUCCUGUUCCCUCUCUGGAUGAAACCCUAGAUGUCGCUCCGGCUCCCGUUCCCUCUCUGGACGAAAUGUUAGGCCGAGUUCAUCCGGUCGCGCCUCCGGCUACGAAAAUGGGAGUAUUGAAUGCCAUGAGCUGGGGUCUUCUGUUUCCUCUCGGAGUCAUCAUGGCGAGGUACCUUCGGGUGUUCAAAUCAGCCGAUCCGGCAUGGUUCUACCUCCACAUCGCUUGCCAAUGCUCCGAUUACGUCCUCAGCGUUGCUGGAUGGGGUCUAGGCCCUAAACUCGGCAGUGAAUCCAAGGGAAUUACAUACUACGCCCACCGCGACAUCGGAAUCGCUCUCUUCUGCUUCGCCACGCUUCAGGAAAAGAAAAAAACAAAUAGAUUGCACCGGAAGAGCCAAUUAACUUGACGGAACAUGGGUAUACCGGUUGAGGAUUGUUAGAAUUGACAUCAAAGAGGUAGCCGAUUGAUUUGCUGACAUCAAAGAGGUAGCCGAUUGAUUUGCUGACAUCAAAGAGGUUCUUGGUUGUGACGGCUUUGGAUGGCAUCCAACCUAGGGACUUGGGGGAGGAUGUUGGUUGUGUCUGGGACAGAUGGAUGGAGAGGAGAGGAAAGGGAAUCAGAUUACCUACCCUAGGCUUUUGGGACUUGCAGCCUGUUGGUGGGCCAUUUGGGAGGCCAGGAACAGUGUUAUCUUUCGAAAGAUUCUGCCCGACCCACUGAAUGCGGUCCUUAACAUUAAAUGCUGGACUAACAUCUGGGUUCAAUAUCUUUCCCCACAAA